CGUUUUGGUUGCUGCUACCUUGGCGUGGUGGUCGGGCUUGCCUAUCGUGAUGAAUCAAUGGAGAUAUACUGGCUGGAACAAUUGUUCCUCAAGGUCCUACUAUGCCAGGCAGAUCGGUUGAAGAGCGGUAAGACUAAGAGCAGC
RNAcentral lists this non-coding RNA (144 nucleotides) under Schistosoma mansoni. Lineage: Eukaryota; Metazoa; Platyhelminthes; Trematoda; Strigeidida; Schistosomatidae. The record is from RNAcentral.